AAUAAAGUAAGCUAAUUUAAGCUUUUAGGCUCAUGUCCUAAAUAUGGAAGAGUAAAAUCUCCCUUUAUUU
RNAcentral lists this transfer RNA (70 nucleotides) under Florometra sp. BMK-2020. RNAcentral's name for it is "tRNA-Met". Lineage: Eukaryota; Metazoa; Echinodermata; Crinoidea; Comatulida; Antedonidae. The record is from RNAcentral.